This 292-nucleotide ribosomal RNA is filed under the name uncultured Geobacillus sp. RNAcentral's name for it is "partial 16S ribosomal RNA". It matches the Rfam family "Bacterial small subunit ribosomal RNA", at positions 505 to 796 of the family's 1533-position model. The record is from RNAcentral. Lineage: Bacteria; Bacillati; Bacillota; Bacilli; Caryophanales; Anoxybacillaceae.
GUGUCAGCCGCCGCGGUAAUACGUAGGUGGCAAGCGUUGUCCGGAAUUAUUGAGCGUAAAGCGCGCGCAGGCGGUCCUUUAAGUCUGAUGUGAAGGCCCACGGCUCAACCGUGGAGGGUCAUUGGAAACUGGGGGACUUGAGUGCAGGAGAGGAGAGCGGAAUUCCACGUGUAGCGGUGAAAUGCGUAGAGAUGUGGAGGAACACCAGUGGCGAAGGCGGCUCUCUGGCCUGUAACUGACGCUGAGGUGCGAAAGCGUGGGGAGCAAACAGGAUUAGAAACCCCGGUAGUCC